Molecule: long non-coding RNA, 12904 nt
Organism: Acinonyx jubatus (cheetah)
Lineage: Eukaryota; Metazoa; Chordata; Mammalia; Carnivora; Felidae
Exons: 2
Source: RefSeq, a predicted model, not a curated record
CCUCCGGCCCACCUGGCGGCCCAGUGGUCGCCUUCGGUCUGGGACCGGCCCUCCGGGGGUUUCCCCCAACGCGGCCUCACCCCUCUGUCCGCUCUCACCGGACGCGGCUCUUGUUGCGGGCGGAAUGGGGGGGGGGGGCACCCAGUAGGCUGUGUGCCCAGCAGUGUGAUGGGCGCGCGGUGCUGGUGCACCUCGGCAUCCCUUUUUGGGACCGGAGGAGAUGUAACUUGUUUACUUUUCGGCUUCUCGUCUCCAGGAGCCAAGGCGAAGAAAGUAGUAUCACGUAAGUGCUUGAACUGUUUCUGUGAAGAUAGGUUGGCUGCCAGCUCAGCCUGUAUGUGCCACCUACUUACUGGUUUCACUCAGUGUGGCAAUUCUUGGACGCUGCUCGGAGAGAAGUGGCCCUACUGGUCCAUCCUGGACAGAAAUGAGUUCCCAGAGCCUCAGAUCACAUUAACAAGCUAGAAGUCAAGGCCUCUUGGUUUCUGGAGCGACACGAUUAGGAGGCUGGGAAUGCGUGGUGGGUGGCUUCUGCCUUGGACACUUUGCAUGGCCUGGUACAAAAUCCCUGUCCUAGACAUGGGGCUGUGGGUAAAGCCAUUCCUAUUUUUUUGAAUCUGGCCCUAUGGAAAUUAGAAACAUUUUUUUAAAGACGUCUUAUGAAAACAAGAAUCCACUGUAAAUUACAGACCCUUUUCCAGAUCUCGCUAACAUUUCAUUUUUCUUCACUGGUAAUGUCGAGUGAACACCUAAUAUUUCUCUCAAAUGAAAAAUACCUGAUUUAUAAUUUUGCUUAUCUAGAUACUAAGCAGUCACACUUUAUAGCUAAAUUUUCUCUCUAGAUUGUUUUGUGUGAGUGUGUGUGUGUGUGUGUGUGUGUGUGUGUGUGUGUGUGUAGCUGUGAUUUUGACAUUUCCUUAUUUAGGAUAUGGGAAAUGCCAUCAGUCAACAGAGAUCUGUUUAGUCAUUUUGGUUGUCUCUUUAGUAGAUACUCUUUUUCAUUAGGAACUGGACCCCACUCUUACCUUCUGGUCAUGUUGCUGGUGAUUUGUUGAUCGUUAUUAAUGGCUUGAAGAUUUGCGAUUUCUUCUAUUUAAUAAACUAUAGCUAGUGUGAGUUCUUUUUGAUUUUUGUGGUGACAGAUAACUUUUAAAAAAUACGUGGUUGUUUAGUAUUUGGGGUCAUAAAGCAUCAUGAAAUUUUAAAUAGUUCCUACUUAUUUUUUUCUUCAAAAUGAAUUUAUUUGCUAGAUUUUUCUUUUUAUUAGUCUGCAUGUUGGGGCCUAUUUUCAGUAGAACAAAGGUAAAAUUUGAUGUUAUAAAAUAAUUUGUUACUUUCAUGUGUAUCUGCUUGCUGUAAUUUAUGACCAAAUAAUGUGUUGUUACUUAAGAAGGACCACAUAAGUGGUAUAACCUGUUUGAAUUUCCCUGAAGUCAUGGGCAGGAAUGAGUGUUUGGAGUGGGUAGAUGGCAUAGGCAAUCACUGAGCAAGAGUAAUUAUUAUGCCUUUACUUAAAAUCUUUUUGGCUUCUAUUUACCAAUAAAGAUUAACUCUUACUUAACAAUAAUAUCACAAAGAUCUUCCACCAGGUUGAAAGGUACAGCAUAAUGUGUUAAGAACACAUUUUUGGAUUUGUAAUUGAACUUUAUUGUCUGCAUAGUAUCAAAUUGGAUAUAAAAUCUAGUUCACCGGGGCGCCUAGGUGGCUCACUUGGUUGAGUCUGACUUUGGCUCAGGUCAGGAUCUCACAAGUUCAUGAGUUUGAGCCCCACAUCAGGCUCUGUGCUGACAGCUCCCAGCUGGAGCCUGCUUCAGAUUCUGUGUCUCCCUCUCUCUCUCUGCCACUCCCCUGGCUCAUGCUCUGACUCUAUUUCAAAAAUAAAUAAACAUUAAAAAAAAAUCUAGUUCACCAACUCUGGGGUGAUUAAUGGAAUAAGCUUUACUUUUUCUUACUCAGUUCUAAGACAGUUGUGUGUUGCCUAAUGGAAGUAGCAGAGUAUCCUUACCAUUGAAACCAUGGCUGUGGGAUGUUCUGAUCUGCCCUGCACUGAAGACCUCUGGGCUUUAAAGUUUUCUGGUAGCCUGGGAAUUCUUAUUGAUUUUUGUGAUAACCUAGGCUAGUAGAUCUUGCCCUUUAACACUCCAGCCUGUCAUCUGGCUGCGUGAAGACUUCUUCAGCCACAUUCACACAGACCUUUAUCACCGCAGCUUUUGGGUAACUGCAACGAUUUUUACCGGUUUUAUUUUCAGAUCAUAGUCUGUCCUACAUGUAGAUAUGAGAGCAAUACGUACAUCAGUUAGUGUUUUCUUCAUGUUCUUCUUCUGUCAUCCAGGUAUUUGUAAUAGUUCCUAUAAUGUUAAAUAUAAAAUCAGUCUUGUCAGGUUUACCGUCUUCUUCAAAUUGAUCUCAUUAGUCCCCCAAUUUAGUCUUCCACUUGAAAUUUGUUUGCUGUAUCUCUUAAUACUCUCCUUUUUGUCUGUGUAAUUUCCUACAAUUAAAAUGGCAUUAAUUGAUUUAAUAAUCUCUCUAGGGAAGAUGUUCCUAAUUCUCUUAGUCCUGUUAUCAUUAACAUUUGUGUAUUCAAAUGUACCAUGUCAUGUUGUAUUCACUGCAUUGUAUUUUUUUUUUUAUUUUGAUUGUCAUAGGGCAGGAUUCAUACUUAGUACAGAAUUUUGCCCAGUGGGCUUUAAAUAAAUGUCUAUUUCAUGAAUGAAUGAACCAUGUUUUUAUUUCUUUUGUCUUUUAAACAGUACUCAGCUUUUAAAUCAAGAAGCUUUUAUUUUUAUUUUUUUAUAAUUUAUUUAUUUAUUUACAUCCAAGUUAGUUAGCAUAUAAUGCAACAAUGAUUUCAAGAAUAGAUUCCUUAAUGCCCCUUACCCAUUUAGCUCAUCCCCCUCUCCCACAACCUCUCCAGCAACCUUCUGUUUGUUCUCUAUAUUUAAGAGUCUCUUACGUUUUGUCCUCCUCCCUGUUUUUAUAUUAUUUUUGCUUCCCUUCCCUUAUGUUCAUCUGUUCUGUGUCUUAAAGUCCUCACAGGAGUGAAGUCAUGAUUUUUGUCUUUCUCUGACCAAAUUCGCUUAGCAUAAUACCUCUAGUUCCAUUCACGUAGUUGCAAAUGGCAAGAUUUCAUUCUUUUUGAUUGCCAAAUAAUACCUCAUUGUAUAUAUAUACCACACCUUCUUUAUCCAUUCAUCCAUCAAUGGACGUUUGGGCUCUUUCCAUACUUUGGCUAUUGUUGAUACUGCUGCUAUAAACAUUGGGGUGCAUGUGCCCCUUUGAAACAACAUACCUGUAUUCCUUAGAUAAAUACCUAGCAGUGCAGUUGCUGGGUCGUAGCGUAGUUAUAUUUUUUAUUUUUUGUGGAACUUCAUACUGUUUUCCAGAGUGGCUGCACCAGUUUGCAUUCCCACCAGCAGUGCAAAAGAGAUCCUCUUUCUCCGCAUCCUCACCAACAUCUGUUGUUGCCUGAGUUGUUAAUGUUAGCCAUUCUGACAGGUGUAAGGGUAUCUCAUUGUGUUUUUGAUUUGUAUUUCCCCAAUGAUGAGUGAUGUUGAGCAUUUUUUCAUGUGUCGGUUGGCCAUCUGGAUGUCUUCUUUGGAGAAGUGUCUAUUCAUGUCUUUUGCCCAUUUCUUCACUGGGUUAUUUGUGUUUUGGGUGUUGAAUUUGAUAAGUUCUUUAUAGAUUUUAGAUACUAACCCUUUAUCUGAUAGGUCCUUUGCAAAUAUCUUCUCCCAUUCUUUCGGUUACCUUUUAGUUUCCUUCGCUGUGCAGAAGCUUUUUAUUUUGAUGAGGUCCCAAUAGUUCAUUUUUGCUUUUGUUUCCCUUGCCUGCAGAGAUGUGUUCAGUAAGAAGUUGCUGCGGCCGAGGUCAAAGAGGCUUUUGCCUGCUUUUCCUCUAGGCUUUUGAUGGCUCCCUGUCUUGCGUUCAGGUCUUUCAUCCAUUUUGAGUUUAUUUUUGUGUAUGGUAUAAGAAAGUGGUCCAGGUUAAUUUUUCUGCAUGUUGCUCUCCAGUUUUCCCAGCACCAUUUGCUGAAGACACUGUCGUUAUUCCAUUGGAUAUUCUUUCCUAUAAAGCAAGAAGCUUUUAGAGUGGUCGUUUGAACAUUAUUUUGACAUUUAUGUCCUUUUUAUUAUAGUUUUUUGAAAGUAAAUUUGCAUUUAAGUCUAAAGCUCAGUUGCCUAUACAUUAUACAAAGUAUAAUGGAAUAUAGGAGAAUAGUUGGAAUUUGGUUUAAGCCUGACCAUCCCUGAAGUUUUAAUUGCUUGCUAGAUAACCUUAAAGGGGUGAUUAGUCUUGGUAAACUCAAGGUUAACAGUAGAUAUGAUCCAAGUUAAAAAAAUAAAACCUUGUGAAAACUUAAGAGAAAUUAAGAUCUUUCUUCAUUGGUAAUAAUGUAUGAUUCUCACUAUUUGCUUUUACUCAAAUUACAUCACUCCAGGUAGUAUUUCAUCAUAGUAUUUGGGAAAGUACUUCUGCCUCAUGCUUCUGAGGUUCAGUAUGUUUCUCUGCACAGCCCAAACUAUUUUUGAGGUGCUUGUCUUUGUGUUAUGUGCACUUUUCUAAUUUAAUGUUUAAUGUUUAUGAUUUUCAAGGAUGCCUUCUGGUUUUGAUGAGUUGUAUUUCAAAUUUUUUCUCAGGAAUUUUCAUGAGACUAGUGUUUCAUAAAUAACUCUUCAAAAGUAAAAUUCUACACACAAAAUCACUUAUUUUUCAUUUCUAAAUUUAUUAGUUCACUUUAUACCAUUCCUCUAGCAAUGGUAGAAAACACUAAUUGCUAGUUCUGCCAUAAUUGUGCUUACAUGGUUUCUAUGUCUUUAAGAUUAAAUAAUGUACAUGACCUGUAAAUCUCCAAAAGAUACCACUUUUUAAUAUUUUAGGCAUUUUAAUCCAGUUUAAGAUAGUGAUGUAUCAAAGUCAGUUUCGGUCAGCAUCAUUAACUUUUCUAUCUAAAAAGUGAGCUUCUGGGCAAGUGCAUUUGUAGAUGUUUGUGUCCUGGCAUGUCAAGACCUAGUUGGAUGUGUUGUAGAGAAAAGAGACAAGUAAGUCUCAUGGUUAUGAAGGAAAGAUACAUUGAACCUCCUCUUUUUCUUCAAUGUAAAUUAUACCACGACAAAUCAUUCAGAAAUUUUUAUCUAUAACAGUUCUCUGAAGUUGCCUCAACAGUAUGGGAAACUGAUGUAUUAUUUAAUGUGGAAUCCCACUGAUACAAAUGCCAUUGUAUUGUGGGUGGAUAACCAUAUGCCUCUACAGCUGAUACCUUGCUGCACUUGAAACAACGGUGGUAGUGUAGGGGAGCGCAAAAACAAAUACACUCAAAUGAGUAGAAAGAGGAGAAAGAGGAGUUUGACCUGAGGACUUUUGAGACUGGUGAUAUGGAGUAUAAGAAAAUACUGAAGAAAGUCUAAGAAGUUUUGUUUUUGUGUUAUAAUUUCCUUCUAGCUUUUGGGCAAGUAUGAGAAAUGUAAUGGAAUGGAAUGAACGUUCUAAGGCAUUGUAUUUAGAAAGCGAAAGCCCCAAUUCUUCCAUUUAGCAGCUGUGAGAUUUUAAGUGAGCUUUUCUUAACUAAUUUCAGUUACUAUCCUUAUAAAAUAAAGUGAUAAUUUCAUUCAUUUAUUAUUUUUUUAUGUAGAAAAUAUUUGUUCAGAACCCAGUAUAUACUAGGUAAUGUUGUGGUUGAGAGAAUAUUGCAAUGAAUAAGAUUCUUGUGAGUGCACUUAGAUUUCUGUUGUAAUGUGAUUUCUGUCUUGCCUGUUCAAUCACAUACUGAAAAGAUUUGAGAUAGUGAAUAUUAAUUUUUUCUAAAUUAUACAUUCAAAAACAGUAGGUUUUUUUAGUACAUCCUAAUAUUAAUAUAGUACUUUUGAAUAGAAAGUCUGAGCUCAUAGCUGGAGCAAUUAUAAAGAAUUCUCCUUUUAGUGUACUAAUCCUCUUCCCUUGAAUUUUCUAUGACAAGAUUAUGUUCCUUCUUUAUUUUAUAGUAAAAACAAAAACCUAUCUUCUCUUUAUGGGAGAGACAUUUAUGUUUUACCCUCAAAUUCAUAUAAUUGAGCUUGACUGACAUCACAUGACCUUUGCAGUCUUUCAUACAGUUUCACAGAAUGCCAGGUAUAGGUUAAAAUAUAUAUUUGUGAAGACAAAGAAAAAGGAAAGCUCUUUGCUUCUCAGGACUCUGUUAGAAGCAUGUGAAGGCUUGGAAGUAUGAAAGAACAUGGCUUGUUAGAGAAAGGUAGAGGUAUGCUUUGGUCAUUAAAGUUAUUGGGAGAAGAGGGAGUGAAUUGCAGAGACAGGAAAUUUACAAGUUCCAGUGGUGUGAAACCAGCCUUUACUUGAGUCUGGCUUUGGAAAUAGUCUGUUACUCUGACAAAACAAAUAUUUGACUAUUUCCAAUGGUUUUCAAAACUGACGUGACCAAAUACUGUGAUAGACUUAAGACUGAUUGAUUUGUUACUUCAUUAUGUUAUUGAACCAACUCAACCAACUUGGACAGUAUAUAGAUCCGGAAUAAAUCAUGAAAUACAUUACAGUUAGAACAAAUUUGGAAAUGUUUCCAACCUAAAUGUUUAGGAAAUUUUCUUAGACAUGGGACCUAAAUGUAAAAUGUGGAUGUUUCUAUUCUUAAAAUGAUAUUUAAAAUAUCUUAUGGCUUAUAUGUUAAUUUUUACGUGUUUUUAGCUUUAUGUAUAUAAAGUAGUACAUUUUAAAACAAAGGAUUAUUGUUGUCUUAAGUGAAUUUAGAGAAUUUAAAGCCUCAGCAUUUUCCCUCAGGCCUUAAAAAUAUAUCUAAGUUAGCCAUCAACUAAAUUGUUAGAUACUUGAGGCCUUUGAGUUUAAACAGAGGGGAGAGACAUUAUGGCUUUAAGUUUCUACAGUUUGAUCUGGGUAGCUUGGGAAGUCAAUAUAAUGGUGAAUAAUAGUCUUGGGGCACCUGGGUGGCUCAGUAGGUUAAGCCUCCUAUUUUGGCUCAGGUCAUGAUGUCAUAGCUUGUGAGUUUGAAGCCCCGCGUCAGGCUCUGUGUUCACAGCUCAGAGCCUGAAGCCUGCUUUGGAUUCUGUGUCUCCCUCUCUCUCUGCCCCUAACCCACUCACAUUCUGUCUGUGUCUCUCUCAAAAAUAAAUAAACAUUAGAAAAAAUGAGUAAUAGUCUCAAACACAUGGAAAUAUAACUGUUAGAGCUUUAUACUAAUAAACCCUAGAUCUAAAGCACUAAGUUUAUUUUUCUUAUCAGGUAAUGUUGAGUAAUAAUAUCAGCAAAAGUAUUUACAUGUUCAUCUGAAUGUUCAUAAUUGCAUUAUCAGGAUCCCUGGAGCAGUUAAAUUCUAAACUGCUUCAUGAAGACCUGGAAAUCUGGAGACUGAAGGAGUCCUGACUCCAUGACAGUAUUAGGGCUAGGCCCCUUAAGCUUAGAAUAUAUUUAAUACAUUCGAAUUAUCUAUUCAGAGUCUUCUAAGAUAUUUUAAAACUUUUUUGAUUGUGACACAGUACACAUAUAUAAUACAUGUAUAAGCAUAAUGUUGUGGGCUGAAUUGUGCCCUACCAAGAGUCAUGUAUUGAUUUAUCCACUGUCUCAGAAUGCAAUUGCAUUUGGAAUUAAUACCUUUAAAGAGGUAAUUAAGUUAAAAUCAGGUCUUUAGGGUGGACCUUAAUUCAAUAUGGCUGAUAGCCUUAUAAGAAAAGGAAAGACCAUGUGAAUACAAAGAGAGAAGUCAAUAAGAAAAGUCUCAGAAUGUAAGCAACCCUACCAGCAUCUUGAUCUUGGACUUAACAGCCUUCAGAACUGUGAGAAAAUAAAUUUCUGUUGUUUUAGUUACUUAGUCUGGUACUUUGUUAUGGCAGCCUUAGCAAACUAAUACAUAUUGUAAUGGAAACAAAAUGUCAUAAUACAAUAUUUUGCUGUGUUUAGUGCACACUAGUAGUACUUAUCAUAUUUCAGUUUUUAAGAAAUGUGAGUCACAACCCAUAGUUUAAAAAAAUUUUGCUUUAUGACUUCUUUAAGUAGUGCAUUCACAUACCUGGGAAGUUACUAGAAAGUAACUUUCUUUUCUGUGUGUUAGUGUUGCACAUAUGGGUCUCUAGUUUGCCUUGGCAGUACUGGUCAAGCCCCCUUUUGUUUUUCUGUCUACAUGUCCAAAUUGAGGUAUCUUUUGAAACAAUAAUCUUGAAAUGAUGAGAAUGUUUUGGUUACUAAUAGUGGCAAGUCUUGGUUAGUUGGCCAAAAUAUAAGUCCUUACUCGAGUGCUCAGAGCCAGGAAGAAACUGUGACUUGAUCAUAAAGGUCUUCUUCGAAUUUCUGCAUGUAAAACUAGUUUCACAAGAUUUAUCUGGUGCCUAUCAUUCAGUUCAAUAUUAACUAUUGGUGAGAUAGCCAGGCAGUCAUGAGACCUUUUAAGAAUGUAGUAACCAGCAUGUAUUUAAUCCUUAUCAGAAUUAUGGAUGCCAUAGAUCAGCCUUCUGGGCUAAAGGUGAAAAUUUUCUGCUUCUAUCCCUCAUCAGUGUCAGUAAAUAUAAAUGAGAAUAACUCCUCUAUUAAUAGAAUUGUUUUCGGAUUGUUCCACAAAGCAGAAGCAAACUAUGCUAUAGAUAAGAGAUACAUUGAAAACAAAAUGCUAUGGAAAGACUAAAAAUAAAGACGUUGGAAAAUGCAACCAGCAGGAAAUCAGGGUUAUACCUGACAUCAGACAGUGUAGAGUCUAUAUCAAAAAGCAUUAAGUGAGACAAAAGACUCUUUAUAAUUCUGAAAAGUACAAUUUUGAAUAAAGUUAAAAAAGUAAGGAAUAUCUAUGCAUCAAAUAACACAGCAGUCACCCUCAUAAAAAAGACCCUACAGAACACGCAGAGAGGAAUAAACACUAAUACUAGCAGACUUUAACAUAUUUCUCUCAGUGCAGGUCACACCAAAGGUAAAAAACUGUUUCCAUAUAUGAAUUCCUCAAAUUUCUAAAGAAAUUUGUUUUGCCAGAUAAUGAGAAAAUUCACUUGAGAAAUUGGGAAAAUGGAAAAGAGUAUUAUUAUAACUUCCCUUUGAGAAUUAAAGCUUAAUAAAUAACACAGAGACAUUACUGGUUUGAAAGAUCCAAUGAUAGAAGUCAAAAAGAAGAGCUGGAAAUGGUGACAUACAAAGAGGUUAAAACUGACAUUUCCCUAUCUUCAUAGGAACAUGUAGGUGAGAGAUUGUAAUGAUCUAAUUAAUUUUGCUUGUAGCUCUUGCCAUUUUCUGGUAAUAGAUCUCUUAAUUUCUGUGUUUAGACCAUUUACAUUUAAUGGAAUUAUGUGUUUGGAUUUCUGUCUACUAUUUUAUUAUUAGGUGUUUAUUCCCUCUGUUUUUCAUCUCUUUAUUUCUCCCUUUCCUGUUUGAAUAUUUUAUUCCAUUUUAUCUUUGACUUUUUGACAAUAUCUUUUUAUAGGCUGGUUUUGGUACUUUCUGUAAGAAUUAUACUAUAUAGGAGCAUCUGUGUGGCUCAGUCAGUUAAGCGUCCAACUUCAGCUCAGGUCAUGAUCUCACAGUUUGUGAGUUUGAACCCCACUUCAGGCUCUGUGCUGACAGCUCGGAGCCUGGAGCCUGCUUCAGAUUCUGUGUGUCUCUCUCUCUCUGACCCUCCCCCACUCACAUUCUAUCUCUCUCUCUCUCUCAAGAAUAAAUAAACAUUAAAAAAAAUUAAAAAAAAAGAAUUAUACUAUAUAUAAUUUUUCAGUCUACUUGAAAUGACCAUUUUAUCAGUUCAGUUGGAAUGUUCAUACCUUAUCAUCAUUUGUCUAAUUACUUUCCUUUGAUUAUGUUAUAGUUGUUAUAUCCACUUACAUCUCCAUACAUACAUUACAUAAAAAUUUUUAAAUUGAGAUAUAAUUGACACAUAACAUUAAAUUAGCUUCAGGUAUACAAUAUAAUGAGUUGAUAUUUGUGUAUAUUGUGAAAUGAUCACCAUAAUAAGUCUAGCUAACAUCUGCCACCAUACAGUUAUAAAAAAAUUUCUUCUUGUGAUGAGAAUUUUAAAGAUUUAUUCUCUUAGCAACUUUGUAAAUAUGCAAUGCAGUAUUAUUAACUAUACUCACCAUGCUAUAUGUACAUUCAUCCCUAUGACUUACUUAUUUUAUGACUGUAUGUUUGUACUUUUUUAAUACCUUCGUCCAUUUCCUCCACCCAUCUACUUCCCACCUCUGGCAACCACCAAUCCUUUUCUGUAUCUAUGAGCUUAUUUUUUGUUUUUGUUUUUGUUUUCUUUUUAGAUUCCACAUAUAAGUAAGAUCAUAUACAGUGUUUGUUUUUCUCUGACUUUAUUUCACUUAGCACAAUGCUGUCAAGAUCCAUCCAUGUUGUUGCAAAUAGUGAGAUUUCCCUCUUUUUUUUAGUAUGGCCAAAUUAUAUUUUAUAUAUAUAUAUAUAUACAUAUAUAUGUACACACUCACACACACACACACACACACACACACACACACACACCACGUUUUCUUUAUUCAUUCAUCCGUUGAUGGACUUUUAGGUUGUUUCCAUAUCUUGGCAAUUGCAAAUAAUGCUGUAGUGAACAUGGGGGUACAUAUAUCCUUUCCAUGUUGUUUUUUUCUUUUCCUCAGAUAAAAACCCAGAGGUAGAAUUGCUAGAUCAUAUGGUAGUUCUAUUUUUAAUUGUUUGAGGAAACUCCAUAUUGUUUUCCACAGUGGAUAUACCUAUUUACAUUCCCACCAAGAGUGUGGGAGAAAAAGUUCAUCAAAAACCUCCAAAAAAGGGAAACUUGGGGCGCCUGGGUGGCACAGUCGGUUAAGCGUCCGACUUCAGCCAGGUCACGAUCUCGCGGGCCAGGAGUUCGAGCCCCGCGUCGGGUUCUGGGCUGAUGGCUCAGAGCCUGGAGCCUGUUUCCGAUUUUGUGUCUCCCUCUCUCUCUGCCCCUCCCCCGUUCAUGCUCUGUCUCUCUCUGUCCCAAAAAUAAAUAAACGUUGAAAAAAAAAAUUAAAAAGAAAACAAAACAAAACAGGGAAACUUUUUUCCCAUAUCCUCACCAAUACUUGUAUUUCUUGUUUUUUUGAGAAUAGCCAUUCUAACAGGUGUGAAGUGAUAUCUUGUGGUUUUGAUUUGCAUUUUCCUGAUGAUUGCGGAUACUGAGUUUCCUUUCAUGUGUCUGUUGGCCAUCUGUGUAUCUUCUUUGGAAAAAUGUCUAUUCAGAUCCUUUGCCCAUUUUAGUUGGAUUGUUUGUUUUGCUACUGAAUUCUUAUGAAAAAUAUUUUUGAUGUAAUAAUGUAAUGUUUAUUAUUUUGAUUUUAACUGUCAUACAUAUUUCAAAGAAUUUAAGAGGGAAAGGAUAAUCUGUUACAGUUACCCAGAUGGUUGUCAUUUAGGUUAUCUUCAGGUAUCAUUUCCUUUCUAUGUAAAAAAUGUCCUUUAGCAUUUCUUUUAGAGCAGGUUUGCUGGAGACUGCUUGUCUUCAUUUUCCUUCAUCUGAGAAUGUCUUUAUUUCACUUUCUUUCCUGAGGGGUAUUUUCACCAGUUAUAGAAUUUUGGGUUGACACUUCUUUACCUUCAGCAUGUUAAAAAUGCCAUUCCUCUUCCCUCUGGCCUCCCUUGUUUCUGAUGAGAAACUUGUAGUCAUCCGAAUUGUUACAUAUGUAUGCAAUGAGUAGGUUGGUUUUUCUCUGGCAUCUUUAAAGAUGUUUUCUUUUUUCUAGUUUUCAGCAUUUUGAAAUAAUUUUUCUGGAUUUAGAUUUUUUUCGAUUAUCUUCUUGGGGUUUGUUGAGCUUCUUGAAUUUGUAAUUUUAUAUCUGGUGCCAAAAUUGAUAAAUGUUUAGCCGUUAUUUCUACAAAUAUUUUUUCUUUCUCCUCUCCUUUUGGCAUUCUGUUGAUAAAAAUGUUAGGUUUUUUGAUAUUGUCCCACAGGUCCCUGAGGCUCUGACUUUUUCUUUUCCAGUUUUUUUUCUUUGUUUUUCAGAUUGGUUGAUCCAUCUUCAAGUUUACUGACCCUUUUCUCUUGUAUCUCCAUUCUGUUCUUGAGCCCAUCCUAUGAAUAUUUUUAGUUAUUAUAUUUUUCAGUUCUAAAAUUUCCACUUGGUUCUUUAUAGCUUUAAUUUGUUCACCAAGACUGUUUUUUUCCAUUCAUUUCAAAAGAUUUUGCCCUUAUGCUUUGGGGUUUGGUUACAAUAACUGUUUUUAAAUCUUUGAUAACUCCAUUCUCUGUGUUGUCAUUGAUUUUUCUUUUUCCUUUGAAAGUUAACAUUUGCCUGUUUCUUCAUAUGCAGAGUGUUGCAUGUAUCCUGGACAUUUGCAUUGUAGGUUUUGGUUAAAUCCCAAAGGGAAUACAGUUCUUUUUAGUUUUUGCAGUCAGUCAAACUGGUUAGGUGAGUUCAUAAGUUGGACCCUUGUUUUAUGGAUCGUGGUUCCAAUGUUCCAUUUUCAUAGCCACUUUGUAGUGCUAUUUGGUUCUGUUCAUCGUGUGUACUGCCCAAAGGUCAGUGUAGGAUCCAUACAGCGGUUUAUACCAUAGUUUAGUUCUCAUAUCUUUUGUGAGACUGUUUAAGAUCAGGUCUCUACAUGCAUAGCUCAGAGGUGAGCCCAGGAGUUCAUAUACAACUUUAUGGGAUUGUUCUCUUGAGUUCCCUUCUUUCUAUGAUCUCACUGAUACUUUUUGUCUCCUUGAGGCCCCCUUUCCAGCCCACUAGCCGGAAAACUGGACCUGUAGUUUCCUUGCUCUGUAGUAUACUUCUUCUACCUGCAUUUGCAUUUAGGGCCAAGUGACUGGAAGACAAAGAAAAAUGCAACAGACAUUUAAUCCAUGAUCUUGGGACCAUUGCUUCUCUGGCUAAAAAGAAUGAUUUUCCUAUCUUACAAUUUUAGACAUCUGCAGUGGUCAUGCUCCUGCCCCCCACUGUGGGAUUCACAGGGGGCUGGGGCUGGAGAGAAUGGAAAAUAAGAAUGGAUUUCCCUC